This 302-nucleotide long non-coding RNA is filed under the name Carica papaya (papaya). RNAcentral describes it as "long non-coding RNA (CPAP_LNC012660)". The record is from RNAcentral. Lineage: Eukaryota; Viridiplantae; Streptophyta; Magnoliopsida; Brassicales; Caricaceae.
GACUAUUAUCGGAUAUUUGCAACUUGCCAAGAAGCAUGGGAGGAGAGAAAAUGGAAGAACAAAGGUCAGAUAAUAAUCUCCCUCCCCCAACACACAUUUCUUAUCCGUAUAGGCACUAAACACCAAAGCUCACCCAAAUUGGCAAGCUUAUACAAAUAUAUACAUACAUAUACUAAUUCUAUACUUCUACUUGUUCCGAAACAUGAAUGAGACACUUCAACACGUGUCAUUUCCCCAUUCCUUCUUCUAUCUUCCCACCCACUUCAAUAUCUUUCAAUAAUUAUACAUUUGCAAAUCUUUCA